RNAcentral lists this ribosomal RNA (515 nucleotides) under uncultured Bacillota bacterium. RNAcentral's name for it is "bacterial SSU rRNA". It matches the Rfam family "Bacterial small subunit ribosomal RNA", at positions 355 to 859 of the family's 1533-position model. The record is from RNAcentral. Lineage: Bacteria; Bacillati; Bacillota.
UAGGGAAUCUUCCGCAAUGGACGAAAGUCUGACGGAGCAACGCCGCGUGAGCGAUGAAGGCCUUCGGGUCGUAAAGCUCUGUUGUUAGGGAAGAACAAGUACCGGAGUAACUGCCGGUACCUUGACGGUACCUAACCAGAAAGCCACGGCUAACUACGUGCCAGCAGCCGCGGUAAUACGUAGGUGGCAAGCGUUAGUCCGGAAUUAUUGGGCGUAAAGCGCGCGCAGGCGGUCCUUUAAGUCUGAUGUGAAAGCCCACGGCUCAACCGUGGAGGGUCAUUGGAAACUGGGGGACUUGAGUACAGAAGAGGAAAGCGGAAUUCCACGUGUAGCGGUGAAAUGCGUAGAGAUGUGGAGGAACACCAGUGGCGAAGGCGGCUUUCUGGUCUGUAACUGGACGCUGGGGCGCGAAAGCGUGGGGAGCAAACAGGAUUAGAUACCCUGGUAGUCCACGCCGUAAACGAUGAGUGCUAAGUGUUAGAGGGUUUCCGCCCUUUAGUGCUGCAGCUAACGCU